GAUGAACGCUGGCGGCGUGCCUAAUACAUGCAAGUCGAGCGAACAGACGAGGAGCUUGCUCCUCUGACGUUAGCGGCGGGCGGGUGAGUAACACGUGGAUAACCUACCUAUAAGACUGGGAUAACUUCGGGAAACCGGAGCUAAUACCGGAUAACAUGUUGAACCGCAUGGUUUAACAGUGAAAGACGGUCUUGCUGUCACUUAUAGAUGGAUCCGCGCCGCAUUAGCUAGUUGGUAAGGUAACGGCUUACCAAGGCAACGAUGCGUAGCCGACCUGAGAGGGUGAUCGGCCACACUGGAACUGAGACACGGUCCAGACUCCUACGGGAGGCAGCAGUAGGGAAUCUUCCGCAAUGGGCGAAAGCCUGACGGAGCAACGCCGCGUGAGUGAAGAAGGUCUUCGGAUCGUAAAACUCUGUUAUUAGGGAAGAACAAAUGUGUAAGUAACUAUGCACGUCUUGACGGUACCUAAUCAGAAAGCCACGGCUAACUACGUG
This 497-nucleotide ribosomal RNA is filed under the name uncultured bacterium. RNAcentral describes it as "partial 16S ribosomal RNA". It matches the Rfam family "Bacterial small subunit ribosomal RNA", at positions 28 to 507 of the family's 1533-position model. The record is from RNAcentral.